RNAcentral lists this ribosomal RNA (463 nucleotides) under uncultured bacterium. RNAcentral describes it as "partial 16S ribosomal RNA". It matches the Rfam family "Bacterial small subunit ribosomal RNA", at positions 28 to 507 of the family's 1533-position model. The record is from RNAcentral.
GAUGAACGCUGACAGAAUGCUUAACACAUGCAAGUCUUUGGCGAAGCUGUGCUUGCACAGCCUAGCCAAGGCGGACGGGUGAGUAACGCGUAAGGAACUUGCCCUGCAGUCAGGGAUAACAGACGGAAACGACUGAUAAGACCUGGUAAAGUCAGGCGGACUCAUGUCCAGCCUGAUGAAAAGAGAUGCUGCAGGAGAGCCUUGCGUCCUAUUAGCUUGUUGGUGGGGUAACGGCCCACCAAGGCGAUGUUAGGUAGCCGGCCUGAGGGGGUGGACGGCCACAAGGGGACUGAGAUACGGCCCUUACUCCUACGGGAGGCAGCAGUGGGGAAUAGUGGACAAGGGGGGCAACCCUGAUCCAGCAAUUCUGUGUGCACGAUGAAGGUUUUCGGAUUGUAAAGUGCUUUCAGCAGGGAAGAAAAAAAUGACGGUACCUGCAGAAGAAGCGACGGCUAAAUACGUG